RNAcentral lists this ribosomal RNA (524 nucleotides) under Eubulus sp. ARC3955. RNAcentral describes it as "partial 16S ribosomal RNA". It matches the Rfam family "Bacterial large subunit ribosomal RNA", at positions 1824 to 2608 of the family's 2925-position model. Lineage: Eukaryota; Metazoa; Arthropoda; Insecta; Coleoptera; Curculionidae. The record is from RNAcentral.
UGGCGUUUUGAUUAUAAUUUAAGGUCUGACCUGCCCAAUGAGUUGUAUUAAAUGGCCGCGGUAUACUGACCGUGCAAAGGUAGCAUAAUCAUUUGUUUCUUAAUUGGAAGCUUGUAUGAAAGGUUUGAUGAGAGAAUAACUGUCUCUAGUUAAAUUUAUUAGAAUUUUAUUUUUAAGUAAAAAAGCUUAAAUAUUUAUUGAAGACGAGAAGACCCUAUAGAGUUUUACAUUUAUUUUAAAUAUAAAAUUUUAGAUUUUAAUUGUUGUAUUUAGGAUUGAGUGUUUAGUUGGGGUGACUGAAAAAUUAGAUAAACUUUUUUUUAAUUGAAACAUUGAUUUAUGAGUAAUUGAUCCAAAUUUUUUUGAUUACAAGAAUAAAUUACCUUAGGGAUAACAGCGUUAUUUUUUUUUAGAGUUCAAAUCGAAAAAAAAGAUUGCGACCUCGAUGUUGGAUUAAAAUAAAGAAUUGGUGUAGGGGCUAAUUUGUUAGGUCUGUUCGACCUUUAAAAUUUUACAUGAUCUGA